This 250-nucleotide ribosomal RNA is filed under the name uncultured Propionicicella sp. Its description in RNAcentral is "partial 16S ribosomal RNA". It matches the Rfam family "Bacterial small subunit ribosomal RNA", at positions 524 to 773 of the family's 1533-position model. The record is from RNAcentral. Lineage: Bacteria; Bacillati; Actinomycetota; Actinomycetes; Propionibacteriales; Nocardioidaceae.
UACGUAGGGUGCGAGCGUUGUCCGGAUUUAUUGGGCGUAAAGAGCUCGUAGGUGGUUUGUUGCGUCGGGAGUGAAAACACGGGGCUUAACUUCGUGCUUGCUUUCGAUACGGGCAGACUGGAGGAAGGUAGGGGAGAACGGAAUUCCUGGUGGAGCGGUGGAAUGCGCAGAUAUCAGGAGGAACACCGGUGGCGAAGGCGGUUCUCUGGACCUUUCCUGACGCUGAGGAGCGAAAGCGUGGGGAGCAAAC